AUGACGCAGCAUCUCCGCCCGCAGCCCGGCGCUCCUGUCUUCCUGGCCGCGCUCGCUCCUCCUCCCAAACACCAGUUUUCUUUACAGGCUUCGAGCCCGUCGCGGCUGGGCUGGGCUGGGCUGGACUGGACUGGCGGGCGGGCCCGGCCGGGCAGGGCUGUGGUGCUAAUGGCGGCGGCUCUCCCUCCUUCCUCCUUUCCUCCGUCCCCCCGGUCGUGGGGAGCCCGGAGCAGGAGGCGGGCCCGCGGCCAGGUUCUGGGCCAGAGAAGGGGCGACAGCCGGGCAACCCCCGAAUGGAUAAUUUUUCCUUCUGUCGACGGCAGGGGCAGGCCUAGUUUGACCCUGACAGUCCUCCCAUUAAGGAAUUCCUAGUGACUGGAAGGGGAGUGACACGGGUCCUCAACCUCUAGCAGUGCUGCCAAGCCCAGUGUGCCAGCCAGCGCUCAGCCUUCUGUAAAGGGUUCCCCUCUUCCAGCCUCCAUUGCACCACUUUCCCCCAAGACUGACCUCCUGGAAAGCUGGAGCAUAACUGCCUCUCAAUAAACGUGUUGCGAAAAAGGAGU
RNAcentral lists this long non-coding RNA (563 nucleotides) under Rhinopithecus roxellana (golden snub-nosed monkey). RNAcentral describes it as "lncRNA (ENSRROG00000045923.1)". The record is from RNAcentral. Lineage: Eukaryota; Metazoa; Chordata; Mammalia; Primates; Cercopithecidae.